AGUCGACGGCAGCACAGCAGUAGCAAUACUGUGGGUGGCGAGUGGCGGACGGGUGAGUAAUGCAUCGGGAUCUACCCUGACGUGGGGGAUAACCUCGGGAAACCGGGACUAAUACCGCAUACGUCCUACGGGAGAAAGCGGGGGACCUUCGGGCCUCGCGCGGCAGGACGAACCGAUGUGCGAUUAGCUAGUUGGCGGGGUAAUGGCCCACCAAGGCGACGAUCGCUAGCUGGUCUGAGAGGAUGAUCAGCCACGCUGGGACUGAGACACGGCCCAGACUCCUACGGGAGGCAGCAGUGGGGAAUAUUGGACAAUGGGCGCAAGCCUGAUCCAGCAAUGCCGCGUGUGUGAAGAAGGCCUUCGGGUUGUAAAGCACUUUUAUCAGGAGCGAAAUACCACGGGUUAAUACCCUAUGGGGCUGACGGUACCUGAGGAAUAAGCACCGGCUAACUUCGUGCCAGCAGCCGCGGUAAUACGAAGGGUGCAAGCGUUAAUCGGAAUUACUGGGCGUAAAGGGUGCGUAGGCGGUUACUUAAGUCUGUCGUGAAAUCCCCGGGCUCAACCUGGGAAUGGCGAUGGAUACUGGGUGGCUAGAGUGUGUCAGAGGAUGGUGGAAUUCCCGGUGUAGCGGUGAAAUGCGUAGAGAUCGGGAGGAACAUCAGUGGCGAAGGCGGCCAUCUGGGACAACACUGACGCUGAAGCACGAAAGCGUGGGGAGCAAACAGGAUUAGAUACCCUGGUAGUCCACGCCCUAAACGAUGCGAACUGGAUGUUGGUCUCAACUCGGAGAUCAGUGUCGAAGCUAACGCGUUAAGUUCG
RNAcentral lists this ribosomal RNA (819 nucleotides) under uncultured bacterium. Its description in RNAcentral is "bacterial SSU rRNA". It matches the Rfam family "Bacterial small subunit ribosomal RNA", at positions 60 to 868 of the family's 1533-position model. The record is from RNAcentral.